UACGUAGGGUGCAGGCGUUAAUCGGAAUUACUGGGCGUAAAGCGUGCGCAGGCGGCUCCUUAAGUCAGAUGUGAAAGCCCCGGGCUUAACCUGGGAACUGCGUUUGAAACUGGGGAGCUGGAGUGUAGAAGAGGGGGGUGGAAUUCCAGGUGUAGCAGUGAAAUGCGUAGAUAUCUGGAGGAACACCGGUGGCGAAGGCGGCAUCCUGGACCAUAACUGACACUGAUAAGCGAAAGCCAGGGGAGCAAACGGG
Molecule: ribosomal RNA, 253 nt
Filed under: uncultured bacterium
Lineage: Bacteria
Description: partial 16S ribosomal RNA
Rfam family: Bacterial small subunit ribosomal RNA
Source: RNAcentral